CGGCGAACGGGUGAGUAACACGUAGGUGAUCUGCCCAUCAGACGGGGACAACGAUUGGAAACGAUCGCUAAUACCGGAUAGGACGAAAGUUUAAAGAUGCUCCUGGCAUCACUGAUGGAUGAGCCUGCGGCGCAUUAGCUAGUUGGUGGGGUAAAGGCCUACCAAGGCGACGAUGCGUAGCCGACCUGAGAGGGUGAACGGCCACACUGGGACUGAGACACGGCCCAGACUCCUACGGGAGGCAGCAG
Molecule: ribosomal RNA, 248 nt
Filed under: uncultured bacterium
Lineage: Bacteria
Description: partial 16S ribosomal RNA
Rfam family: Bacterial small subunit ribosomal RNA
Source: RNAcentral